RNAcentral lists this long non-coding RNA (1482 nucleotides) under Heterocephalus glaber (naked mole-rat). RNAcentral's name for it is "lncRNA (ENSHGLG00100037111.1)". Lineage: Eukaryota; Metazoa; Chordata; Mammalia; Rodentia; Bathyergidae. The record is from RNAcentral.
UCUAUAGUGGUGAUCUAGAACUGACUUGAUUUGAGAAGGAAAACAAAACAGUUUACACCUUUAAUUCUUUUUUUUUCUUCCGUACCAGAGAUUAAACUCAGGACCUUGUGCAUGCAAGCCAGGUGUGGCGCCACUGAGCUAAACCCCUGGCCCAAUAUCUUUCAUUCUUAAAUCAGUUGACUUAAUGCCUUAUAGCCAGUGAUUUUGAACUUUGGGUACACAUGUGGGCAUAUUUUUAAAAAUCACUUGCAUCUGAGCUCUGAUACAGAUUUUGGUAAAUUUCUCUUGGUUACUUUUCUCACUGCUGAAAAACAUACCCAACACCCACAAGUUAAAGGAGGAAAGGUUUAUCUCAGCUCCCAGUUUCUAGAGGUUUCAGUCCAUAGUUGGCUGGCUCCAAAGCAGGGUGGCAUGGCAAAGGGGCGUCACAGAGGAAAAAUAGUUCAUGGCAUGGCUGGUAGAAAGCAACAAGCAGCAGCAGCAAUCCUCCCUUCUUCUGUCUCUUUAUAUUCUAUCCAGGCUACAAGCCUAUUGAUUGGUGCCCUCCACAUCCAGGAUAGCAUUUCUAUUAUCCACACCCUUAAUCCCAGUAUCACACCCUUAAUCCACAUUCACACACCCUAAUCCAGCCACUUUCAAUACUCCCCUCCUAUGACUGCAGAAGGCUUUGCAGGGACAUCUAGAUACAAGCCAUAACAUUGUUCUUUGUCCAGAAUUUUGAUUUAGCAGAUCUGGGUAUCGAGACUUUUUUAAAGCUCUUUUGAACAUUAGAAUCCUGGGAAGGUUUUAAAAACACUGUUGCCAAGACUUCUAGUAAAUCUGAAUAUUUAAAGGUGAGGCCUAUAUUUUCAUUUUAUUGUGGCCUACUCCACAUUUGGGUAUUUUUAGAAAACUCUCCGGUAGACAUUAAUGUUUAACCACUUUGAGACCCACCGAAUAAGAACAUCCUAAAGCUGUGUAUCUAAAAGGAACUUUUAAAACAUGGGACUUUUCAUUUUUAGGGAGAAAACCUAUUAGUAGAAGCACUGCAGGCUGUCUGUCUUUGUGGAUUAAUCACUUCUGUGCCAUCACAAUGCGAAGAAACUGUCAUAGCCACCAAAUUCCAAGUAAAUUGUGCAUGCUUUAAAAAUGAAAACACUGGUGGUGCAGGCCUAUAAUCCCAGAACUUGGGAGGCUGAAGCAGAAGGAUCACCACAAAUUCAAGGCCAGUCUCGGCUACAUAGUAAGUUCAAGACCAACUGAACUAUGUAGUGAGACCUUGUUUCAACAACAACAACAAAAAGAAACACAAUUCCCAGCUUAAUUAUUUAAUCUCUUUAUAGAUUGUUGUUAUCCAAACAGUUCUAAAUAUUUUAAAAAUACAUAGUGUUCCAUAUAUGUCUCUAAUCAGUGUUUUCUUUAAGAGUCUCAAUGUUGAUAAUAACAUAUUCCUGGAGGGAAAUAAAAAAUACAAAAAAAAUAGUUUGACUACUUGGCUUUCUG